Cyprinus carpio (common carp) is the source of this 214-nucleotide long non-coding RNA. RefSeq lists it as uncharacterized. The record is from RefSeq and is a predicted model, not a curated record. The transcript has 3 exons. NCBI's taxonomy places the organism in Eukaryota, Metazoa, Chordata, Actinopteri, Cypriniformes, Cyprinidae.
AGAAGGUUGAUUUUUUGCCUCCUCCUGUUUCCUCUGCUGUCAUCCUCACUAAAUCUGUAGGAGGAAAUGAGGCUGCAGCAAUUUUCAAUUCAGCAUUUGGCAGUUUUCUGGGGAUUGUGUUCACUCCUCUUCUGCUGCUGGUGUUUGUGAGUAUAACUCCUCUUUAUUUGUUAUUUCUGUUCAUUGUGAAUGUGCUGAACAGUAAGCAUGUUGU